This 428-nucleotide ribosomal RNA is filed under the name uncultured bacterium. Its description in RNAcentral is "partial 16S ribosomal RNA". It matches the Rfam family "Bacterial small subunit ribosomal RNA", at positions 354 to 796 of the family's 1533-position model. The record is from RNAcentral.
GUGGGGAAUAUUGGGCAAUGGGCGAAAGCCUGACCCAGCAACGCCGCGUGAGGGAAGAAGGCCUUCGGGUUGUAAACCUCUGUCCUUGGUGACGAAAAAAAUGACGGUAGCCAAGGAGGAAGCCCCGGCUAACUACGUGCCAGCAGCCGCGGUAAUACGUAGGGGGCGAGCGUUGUCCGGAAUUACUGGGCGUAAAGGGUGCGUAGGUGGCCUUUUAAGUUGGAUGUGAAAUACCCGGGCUUAACUUGGGGGGUGCAUCUAAUACUGGGGGGCUAGAGUGCAGGAGAGGGAAGCGGAAUUCCUAGUGUAGCGGUGAAAUGCGUAGAUAUUAGGAGGAACACCAGUGGCGAAGGCGGCUUUCUGGACGAAAACUGACGCUGAGGCGCGAAAGCCAGGGGAGCGAACGGGAUUAGAUACCCGUGUAGUCC